UGGGGAAUAUUGGACAAUGGGCACAAGCCUGAUCCAGCCAUGCCGCGUGUGUGAAGAAGGCCUUUUGGUUGUAAAGCACUUUAAGCGAGGAGGAGGCUACUUGGAUUAAUACUCUAGGAUAGUGGACGUUACUCGCAGAAUAAGCACCGGCUAACUCUGUGCCAGCAGCCGCGGUAAUACAGAGGGUGCGAGCGUUAAUCGGAUUUACUGGGCGUAAAGCGUGCGUAGGCGGCUUCUUAAGUCGGAUGUGAAAUCCCUGAGCUUAACUUAGGAAUUGCAUUCGAUACUGGGAAGCUAGAGUAUGGGAGAGGAUGGUAGAAUUCCAGGUGUAGCGGUGAAAUGCGUAGAGAUCUGGAGGAAUACCGAUGGCGAAGGCAGCCAUCUGGCCUAAUACUGACGCUGAGGUACGAAAGCAUGGGGAGCAAACAGG
This 430-nucleotide ribosomal RNA is filed under the name Acidobacteriota bacterium. Its description in RNAcentral is "Acidobacteria bacterium partial 16S ribosomal RNA". It matches the Rfam family "Bacterial small subunit ribosomal RNA", at positions 355 to 776 of the family's 1533-position model. The record is from RNAcentral. Lineage: Bacteria; Pseudomonadati; Acidobacteriota.